UGUGGUGGCGAUAGCAAGAAGGAUACACCUGUUCCCAUGCCGAACACAGAAGUUAAGCUUCUUCACGCCGAGAGUAAGAAGCACAUUAUUUCGGAAAAUGCAGCGG
This 106-nucleotide ribosomal RNA is filed under the name Lacticaseibacillus paracasei. The record is from RNAcentral. Lineage: Bacteria; Bacillati; Bacillota; Bacilli; Lactobacillales; Lactobacillaceae.